This 1140-nucleotide long non-coding RNA is filed under the name Piliocolobus tephrosceles (Ugandan red Colobus). RNAcentral describes it as "lncRNA (ENSPTEG00000023564.1)". Lineage: Eukaryota; Metazoa; Chordata; Mammalia; Primates; Cercopithecidae. The record is from RNAcentral.
AUGUACAUUCACACUCAUUCUCUGACCCAGUCACACAUUCACACCCUCACCUUCACACUCAUACAUCCACACACAUUCACACUCACACAUUCACACACACGUUCACACCUAUUCUCAUGCACACAUUCACCUCACUAUUCACACACAUUCACUCACACCAACACCUUCACACUCACACAUUCACACUCAUUCACACACACACACCUUCACACUCACACAUCCACACAUAUUCACACUCACAUUCACACGCACGUUCACACCUAUUCUCAUGAACACACAUUCACCUCACUAUUCACACACGUUCACACUCACACCCACACCUUCACACUCACAAUUCACACAUAUUCACACAUUCACACAUCCACACCUUCACACUCACAUCCACAUUCACAUUCAUUCACACAUUCACACUCACACCCACACCUUUGCACUCACAUUCACACAUUCACACUCACACCUUCACACAUUCACAUGCACAUUCACACCCACUCNNNNNNNNNNCACACACACCUUCACACACACAUUCACACUCACAUUCACACACAUUCACACUCGCACCCACACUUUCACACUCACAUUCACAUUUUCACUCACAUCCACACACAUUCACGCAUCCACACACACAUCCACAUUCACACAUUCACACUCACACCCACACCUUCACUCUCACAUGCAGUCACACACCCACACCUUCACACUCACAUUUGCACACAUUCACACUCACACAUUCACACACAUUCACAUGCACAUUCACACCUAUUCUCAUGCAGUCUCACACACAUUCACAUGCACCAUGCACAUUCACUCUCACAUUCUCUGACCCAUUCACACACCUUCACACUCACACAUUCACACGUUUACUCACAUUCACACACACACAUUCACAUUUGCCCAUUCACACACAUUCACACACAUUUACACACAUAUAUUCACACAUUUAUACUCAUAUACACACACACAUUCACAUUCAUUCACUCACACAUUUACACUCACACAUUCACACUCAUUCACAGUGACACAUUUACAUUUAUAGUCACACAUUCACACAUUCACACUCAUCCACACACAUUUAUAUUCACAUUCACACACACACACACACAUUCACACAUCUCGCAGUUCCCAUACAGGCAAGCUCCCUAG